CACUAUCAUCAGGGGUUUCUUUCGGCCUUCAGCUGUUUAGACUGUAGGCCGGCGGAAACUACUUGCUGAUGGUG
RNAcentral lists this microRNA precursor (74 nucleotides) under Heliconius melpomene (postman butterfly). RNAcentral describes it as "mir-2796 microRNA precursor family". It matches the Rfam family "mir-2796 microRNA precursor family". The record is from Rfam by way of RNAcentral. Lineage: Eukaryota; Metazoa; Arthropoda; Insecta; Lepidoptera; Nymphalidae.